UUGGCCAGAAUGGUUCAGCUUGGUUUCAUAGCUCGCAGAAGCUACUCUGUUCCUGCACCAUUGUCCUUAGUUCAUGUGGACACCAAUCAUAAGCUAAUCACAUUCAAUAUUGUGAUAUUUGGUGGGAUUGAUGGUUUCUCAAGGAAGAUCCUAUACCUUGAUGCUGCUGAAAACAACAAGGCAUCAACUGCCUUCUCAUUCUUUCUGGAGGGUGUUCACAAACAUGGGUGGCCUUCAAGGUAAGAACACUGUUAACAUGUGAUGUCUUUUUUUUUUUUGGAGUCAACAUCUUAACUACAUUUCACAAGUUCACAUG
Long non-coding RNA from Rhinichthys klamathensis goyatoka, 316 nucleotides. RefSeq lists it as uncharacterized. Lineage: Eukaryota; Metazoa; Chordata; Actinopteri; Cypriniformes; Leuciscidae. The transcript is spliced from 3 exons. The record is from RefSeq and is a predicted model, not a curated record.